Molecule: ribosomal RNA, 469 nt
Filed under: uncultured bacterium
Lineage: Bacteria
Description: partial 16S ribosomal RNA
Rfam family: Bacterial small subunit ribosomal RNA
Source: RNAcentral
GACGAACGCUGGCGGCGUGCUUAACACAUGCAAGUCGAACGGAAAGGCCCUGCUUGCUGGGUGCUCGAGUGGCGAACGGGUGAGUAACACGUGGGUGAUCUGCCCCUUACUUUGGGAUAAGCCUGGGAAACUGGGUCUAAUACUGGAUAGGACCAUGCUGUAGGUGGUGUGGUGGAAAGAUUAGUUUCGGUAAGGGAUGAGCUCGCGGCCUAUCAGCUUGUUGGUGGGGUAAUGGCCUACCAAGGCGUCGACGGGUAGCCGGCCUGAGAGGGUGGACGGCCACAUUGGGACUGAGAUACGGCCCAGACUCCUACGGGAGGCAGCAGUGGGGAAUAUUGCACAAUGGGCGCAAGCCUGAUGCAGCGACGCCGCGUGGGGGAUGACGGCCUUCGGGUUGUAAACUCCUUUCAGCCAUGACGAAGCCCUUGUGGUGACGGUAGUGGUAGAAGAAGCUCCGGCUAACUACGUG